This 1695-nucleotide ribosomal RNA is filed under the name Escherichia coli. Its description in RNAcentral is "partial 23S ribosomal RNA". It matches the Rfam family "Bacterial large subunit ribosomal RNA", at positions 296 to 1987 of the family's 2925-position model. Lineage: Bacteria; Pseudomonadati; Pseudomonadota; Gammaproteobacteria; Enterobacterales; Enterobacteriaceae. The record is from RNAcentral.
CAGAGCCUGAAUCAGUGUGUGUGUUAGUGGAAGCGUCUGGAAAGGCGCGCGAUACAGGGUGACAGCCCCGUACACAAAAAUGCACAUACUGUGAGCUCGAUGAGUAGGGCGGGACACGUGGUAUCCUGUCUGAAUAUGGGGGGACCAUCCUCCAAGGCUAAAUACUCCUGACUGACCGAUAGUGAACCAGUACCGUGAGGGAAAGGCGAAAAGAACCCCGGCGAGGGGAGUGAAAAAGAACCUGAAACCGUGUACGUACAAGCAGUGGGAGCCUCUUUUAUGGGGUGACUGCGUACCUUUUGUAUAAUGGGUCAGCGACUUAUAUUCUGUAGCAAGGUUAACCGAAUAGGGGAGCCGAAGGGAAACCGAGUCUUAACUGGGCGUUAAGUUGCAGGGUAUAGACCCGAAACCCGGUGAUCUAGCCAUGGGCAGGUUGAAGGUUGGGUAACACUAACUGGAGGACCGAACCGACUAAUGUUGAAAAAUUAGCGGAUGACUUGUGGCUGGGGGUGAAAGGCCAAUCAAACCGGGAGAUAGCUGGUUCUCCCCGAAAGCUAUUUAGGUAGCGCCUCGUGAAUUCAUCUCCGGGGGUAGAGCACUGUUUCGGCAAGGGGGUCAUCCCGACUUACCAACCCGAUGCAAACUGCGAAUACCGGAGAAUGUUAUCACGGGAGACACACGGCGGGUGCUAACGUCCGUCGUGAAGAGGGAAACAACCCAGACCGCCAGCUAAGGUCCCAAAGUCAUGGUUAAGUGGGAAACGAUGUGGGAAGGCCCAGACAGCCAGGAUGUUGGCUUAGAAGCAGCCAUCAUUUAAAGAAAGCGUAAUAGCUCACUGGUCGAGUCGGCCUGCGCGGAAGAUGUAACGGGGCUAAACCAUGCACCGAAGCUGCGGCAGCGACGCUUAUGCGUUGUUGGGUAGGGGAGCGUUCUGUAAGCCUGCGAAGGUGUGCUGUGAGGCAUGCUGGAGGUAUCAGAAGUGCGAAUGCUGACAUAAGUAACGAUAAAGCGGGUGAAAAGCCCGCUCGCCGGAAGACCAAGGGUUCCUGUCCAACGUUAAUCGGGGCAGGGUGAGUCGACCCCUAAGGCGAGGCCGAAAGGCGUAGUCGAUGGGAAACAGGUUAAUAUUCCUGUACUUGGUGUUACUGCGAAGGGGGGACGGAGAAGGCUAUGUUGGCCGGGCGACGGUUGUCCCGGUUUAAGCGUGUAGGCUGGUUUUCCAGGCAAAUCCGGAAAAUCAAGGCUGAGGCGUGAUGACGAGGCACUACGGUGCUGAAGCAACAAAUGCCCUGCUUCCAGGAAAAGCCUCUAAGCAUCAGGUAACAUCAAAUCGUACCCCAAACCGACACAGGUGGUCAGGUAGAGAAUACCAAGGCGCUUGAGAGAACUCGGGUGAAGGAACUAGGCAAAAUGGUGCCGUAACUUCGGGAGAAGGCACGCUGAUAUGUAGGUGAAGCGACUUGCUCGUGGAGCUGAAAUCAGUCGAAGAUACCAGCUGGCUGCAACUGUUUAUUAAAAACACAGCACUGUGCAAACACGAAAGUGGACGUAUACGGUGUGACGCCUGCCCGGUGCCGGAAGGUUAAUUGAUGGGGUUAGCGGUAACGCGAAGCUCUUGAUCGAAGCCCCGGUAAACGGCGGCCGUAACUAUAACGGUCCUAAGGUAGCGAAAUUCCUUGUCGGGUAAGUUCCGAC